This 460-nucleotide ribosomal RNA is filed under the name uncultured bacterium. RNAcentral describes it as "partial 16S ribosomal RNA". It matches the Rfam family "Bacterial small subunit ribosomal RNA", at positions 338 to 795 of the family's 1533-position model. The record is from RNAcentral.
CCUACGGGAGGCAGCAGUGAGGAAUAUUGGUCAAUGGGCGAGAGCCUGAACCAGCCAAGUCGCGUGAAGGAUGAAGGAUCUAUGGUUUGUAAACUUCUUUUAUAUGGGAAUAAAGUGAGGAACGUGUUCCUUUUUGUAUGUACCAUAUGAAUAAGCAUCGGCUAACUCCGUGCAAGCAGCCGCGGUAAUACGGAGGAUGCGAGCGUUAUCCGGAUUUAUUGGGUUUAAAGGGUGCGUAGGUGGUUAAUUAAGUCAGCGGUGAAAGUUUGUGGCUCAACCAUAAAAUUGCCGUUGAAACUGGUUGACUUGAGUAUAUUUGAGGUAGGCGGAAUGCGUGGUGUAGCGGUGAAAUGCAUAGAUAUCACGAAGAACUCUGAUUGCGAAGGCAGCUUCCUAAACUAUAACUGACACUGAGGCACGAAAGCGUGGGGAGCAAACAGGAUUAGAUACCCGGGUAGUC